ACACGUGGGAAACCUGCCCAGAAGCGGGGGAUAACACCUGGAAACAGAUGCUAAUACCGCAUAACAACUUGGACCGCAUGGUCCGAGUUUGAAAGAUGGCUUCGGCUAUCACUUUUGGAUGGUCCCGCGGCGUAUUAGCUAGAUGGUGAGGUAACGGCUCACCAUGGCAAUGAUACGUAGCCGACCUGAGAGGGUAAUCGGCCACAUUGGGACUGAGACACGGCCCAAACUCCUACGGGAGGCAGCAGUAGGGAAUCUUCCACAAUGGACGAAAGUCUGAUGGAGCAACGCCACGUGAGUGAAGAAGGGUUUCGGCUCGUAAAACUCUGUUGUUAAAGAAGAACAUAUCUGAGAGUAACUGUUCAGGUAUUGACGGUAUUUAACCAGAAAGCCACGGCUAACUACGUGCCAGCAGCCGCGGUAAUACGUAGGUGGCAAGCGUUGUCCGGAUUUAUUGGGCGUAAAGCGAGCGCAGGCGGUUUUUUAAGUCUGAUGUGAAAGCCUUCGGCUCAACCGAAGAAGUGCAUCGGAAACUGGGAAACUUGAGUGCAGAAGAGGACAGUGGAACUCCAUGUGUAGCGGUGAAAUGCGUAGAUAUAUGGAAGAACACCAGUGGCGAAGGCGGCUGUCUGGUCUGUAACUGACGCUGAGGCUCGAAAGUAUGGGUAGCAAACAGGAUUAGAUACCCUGGUAGUCCAUACCGUAAACGAUGAAUGCUAAGUGUUGGAGGGUUUCCGCCCUUCAGUGCUGCAGCUAACGCAUUAAGCAUUCCGCCUGGGGAGUACGGCCGCAAGGCUGAAACUCAAAGGAAUUGACGGGGGCCCGCACAAGCGGUGGAGCAUGUGGUUUAAUUCGAAGCUACGCGAAGAACCUUACCAGGUCUUGACAUACUAUGCAAAUCUAAGAGAUUAGACGUUCCCUUCGGGGACUUGGAUACAGGUGGUGCAUGGUUGUCCUCAGCUCCUGUCCUGAAAUGUUGGGUUAAGUCCCGCAACGAGCG
This 1000-nucleotide ribosomal RNA is filed under the name Lactiplantibacillus plantarum subsp. plantarum. RNAcentral describes it as "bacterial SSU rRNA". It matches the Rfam family "Bacterial small subunit ribosomal RNA", at positions 113 to 1098 of the family's 1533-position model. Lineage: Bacteria; Bacillati; Bacillota; Bacilli; Lactobacillales; Lactobacillaceae. The record is from RNAcentral.